GAUGAAGAACGUAGCGAAAUGCGAUAAGUAAUGUGAAUUGCAGAAUUCAGUGAAUCAUCGAAUCUUUGAACGCACAUUGCGCCCGCUAGUAUUCUGGCGGGCAUGCCUGUCCGAGCGUCAUUUCAACCCUCAAGCCCCCGGGCUUGGUGUUGGGGAUCGGCGAGCCUCCGCGCCCGCCGUCCCCUAAAUCUAGUGGCGGUCUCGCUGUAGCUUCCUCUGCGUAGUAGCACACCUCGCACUGGGAAACAGCGCGGCCACGCCGUUAAACCCCCAACUUCGGAACGUUUGACCUCGGAUCAGGUAGGAAUACCCGCUGAACUUAAGCAUAUCAAUAAGCGGAGGA
This 343-nucleotide unclassified non-coding RNA is filed under the name soil metagenome. RNAcentral describes it as "partial contains 5.8S ribosomal RNA, internal transcribed spacer 2, and large subunit ribosomal RNA". The stretch from base 1 to 120 matches the Rfam family "5.8S ribosomal RNA", at positions 35 to 154 of the family's 154-position model. The record is from RNAcentral.